Molecule: ribosomal RNA, 497 nt
Filed under: uncultured bacterium
Lineage: Bacteria
Description: partial 16S ribosomal RNA
Rfam family: Bacterial small subunit ribosomal RNA
Source: RNAcentral
GAUGAACGCUGGCGGCGUGCCUAAUACAUGCAAGUCGAGCGAACAGACGAGGAGCUUGCUCCUCUGACGUUAGCGGCGGACGGGUGAGUAACACGUGGAUAACCUACCUAUAAGACUGGGAUAACUUCGGGAAACCGGAGCUAAUACCGGAUAAUAUAUUGAACCGCACGGUUCAACAGUGAAAGACGGUUUUGCUGUCACUUAUAGAUGGAUCCGCGCCGCAUUAGCUAGUUGGUAAGGUAACGGCUUACCAAGGCAACGAUGCGUAGCCGACCUGAGAGGGUGAUCGGCCACACUGGAACUGAGACACGGUCCAGACUCCUACGGGAGGCAGCAGUAGGGAAUCUUCCGCAAUGGGCGAAAGCCUGACGGAGCAACGCCGCGUGAGUGAUGAAGGUCUUCGGAUCGUAAAACUCUGUUAUUAGGGAAGAACAAAUGUGUAAGUAACUAUGCACGUCUUGACGGUACCUAAUCAGAAAGCCACGGCUAACUACGUG